This 433-nucleotide ribosomal RNA is filed under the name uncultured bacterium. Its description in RNAcentral is "partial 16S ribosomal RNA". It matches the Rfam family "Bacterial small subunit ribosomal RNA", at positions 29 to 507 of the family's 1533-position model. The record is from RNAcentral.
AACGAACGCUGGCGGCAUGCCUAACACAUGCAAGUCGAACGAGACCUUCGGGUCUAGUGGCGCACGGGUGCGUAACGCGGGGGAACCUGCCCUUAGGUUCGGAAUAACUCCCCGAAAGGGGUGCUAAUACCGGAUAAUGUCUUCGGACCAAAGAUUUAUCGCCUUUGGAUGGGCCCGCGUUGGAUUAGCUAGUUGGUAGGGUAAAAGCCUACCAAGGCGACGAUCCAUAGCUGGUCUGAGAGGAUGAUCAGCUACACUGGGACUGAGACACGGCCCAGACUCCUACGGGAGGCAGCAGUGGGGAAUAUUGGACAAUGGGCGCAAGCCUGAUCCAGCAAUGCCGCGUGAGUGAUGAAGGCCUUAGGGUUGUAAAGCUCUUUUAGCCGGGAUGAUAAUGACAGUACCGGGAGAAUAAGCACCGGCUAACUACGUG